This 27-nucleotide non-coding RNA is filed under the name Homo sapiens (human). Lineage: Eukaryota; Metazoa; Chordata; Mammalia; Primates; Hominidae. The record is from RNAcentral.
UGGCUGUGUCUACAGGACAACAAAUGU